This 396-nucleotide ribosomal RNA is filed under the name uncultured bacterium. RNAcentral's name for it is "partial 16S ribosomal RNA". It matches the Rfam family "Bacterial small subunit ribosomal RNA", at positions 523 to 918 of the family's 1533-position model. The record is from RNAcentral.
AUACGUAGGUGGCAAGCGUUGUCCGGAUUUACUGGGUGUAAAGGGCGUGUAGGCGGAGCAGCAAGUCAGAAGUGAAAUCUCCGGGCUUAACCCGGAAACUGCUUUUGAAACUGUUGCCCUUGAGUAUCGGAGAGGCAGGCGGAAUUCCUAGUGUAGCGGUGAAAUGCGUAGAUAUUAGGGGGAACACCAGUGGCGAAGGCGGCCUGCUGGACGACCGCGGAAGCUGAGGCGCGAAAGCGGGGGGAGCAAACAGGAUUAGAUGCCCUGGUCGUCCACUCCGUAAACGAUGGAUACUAGGUGUGGGGGGACUGACCCCCUCCGUGCCGCAGUUAACACAAUAAGUAUCCCCCCUGGGGAGUACGAUCGCAAGAUUGAAACUCAAAUGAAUUGACGGGG